CUUUACUAAUACAACAAUGAAAAACAUAGGCCAAGCACACUAAAAAUAGAUACACGCAAUUAUGUCGGAAUGAAGUUGAAUCAUCACAAAGGACAUGGCUGGGAAUUUUUCACACCAAGUGUACUGCCACUGUCUUUGAACACAGACGAUUCAAGUAUGGUAGCUGAUGGUGAUGGAAAGAAAUCAACAACCACCUGUUCAGAGAUUUAGGGCCCCAGGAAACCUUCCCGCCUUAUCAUCUUCACUGUUGUGCCUUACGUGCAAGCAGAGACCGAGCAUCAUGUUACUACUACCCUGCAGCCAUCUGGCGGUGUGUGACCAGUGUGCACGGACCACCGAGUUAUGUCCGCGAUGUACCAGGCCCGUUAUGUGCAUCAUUCGAACGGUUAUACUUUGAUGGGUGUUGAAUUGCUCUUGUUAAAGGAACCAUGAAUGAAAAUACAUUGCUCUGAAAUAAAGAUAUCUAGAAUAA
Long non-coding RNA from Dreissena polymorpha, 472 nucleotides. RefSeq lists it as uncharacterized. The record is from RefSeq and is a predicted model, not a curated record. Lineage: Eukaryota; Metazoa; Mollusca; Bivalvia; Myida; Dreissenidae. The transcript is spliced from 3 exons.